UUUGAAACGGAUUUCUGAAUCGGCCCCACGAAACUAGUGCGAUUUUUGGGGUGUAGAUCAUGUAACAUGAAUCUAUACACGGUUUACAUGCCGGUUGACUGGGCAUUCGAGAGGGACUCUUAUAAUUUAUAGUUGAUAUCUUUAGCAGGAUUUUGGAUUAUGCUUAAGAAAUGUAUAUUGUUUUUGACUAAAAAAAAAAAAAAAAAAGAA
RNAcentral lists this long non-coding RNA (210 nucleotides) under Helianthus annuus (common sunflower). RNAcentral describes it as "hypothetical non coding rna". The record is from RNAcentral. Lineage: Eukaryota; Viridiplantae; Streptophyta; Magnoliopsida; Asterales; Asteraceae.